RNAcentral lists this ribosomal RNA (492 nucleotides) under uncultured bacterium. Its description in RNAcentral is "partial 16S ribosomal RNA". It matches the Rfam family "Bacterial small subunit ribosomal RNA", at positions 29 to 507 of the family's 1533-position model. The record is from RNAcentral.
AGUGGACGCUGGCGGUAGGCCUAACACAUGCAAGUCGAACGGCAGCACAGUAAGAGCUUGCUCUUACGGGUGGCGAGUGGCGGACGGGUGAGGAAUACAUCGGAAUCUACUUUUUCGUGGGGGAUAACGUAGGGAAACUUACGCUAAUACCGCAUACGACCUACGGGUGAAAGCAGGGGAUCUUCGGACCUUGCGCGAUUGAAUGAGCCGAUGUCGGAUUAGCUAGUUGGCGGGGUAAAGGCCCACCAAGGCGACGAUCUGUAGCUGGUCUGAGAGGAUGAUCAGCCACACUGGAACUGAGACACGGUCCAGACUCCUACGGGAGGCAGCAGUGGGGAAUAUUGGACAAUGGGCGCAAGCCUGAUCCAGCCAUACCGCGUGGGUGAAGAAGGCCUUCGGGUUGUAAAGCCCUUUUGUUGGGAAAGAAAAGCAGCAGGUUAAUACCCCGCUGUUCUGACGGUACCCAAAGAAUAAGCACCGGCUAACUUCGUG